RNAcentral lists this ribosomal RNA (399 nucleotides) under Triticum aestivum (bread wheat). RNAcentral describes it as "partial small subunit ribosomal RNA". The record is from RNAcentral. Lineage: Eukaryota; Viridiplantae; Streptophyta; Magnoliopsida; Poales; Poaceae.
AUGCUCACAGUAGACGAGAUUGAAAAUGCCUGGACUAUAUUGAUGGAAAAGUAUAAUCUGAAACAGCACCCAUACAUGAUAGAGUUAUAUGAAAUCAGGACCAAGUGGGUGAAGCCUUAUAUCAAGGGGGUUCUCUGUGCAAGAAUGACAAGCACACAACACAACAAGAGUGCUAAUAAUAUGCUGAAAACGUAUAUGCCUCGUGCCAUUGCAGUGCACAUGUUUGUGAGCCAGUACAUAUGGCUCCAGUUUGACCGUGAACGCGAUGAGAGCUACAAGGAGAAAAGAACAAGGAUUUUAAAGUGUAGCCGUGCGGCGUAUAAACCCUGUGAUCGAGAGGCAUGCAAUCAAGGUUUAUACUCGAGACAUGUUCUAGUAGUUUGGUCAGUUCCUUGUUGA